CUUUCCCUCUCUCUUGCUGCUUUACACAUGCAAGUCGAACGGCAGCGCGGACUUCGGUCUGGCGGCGAGUGGCGAACGGGUGAGUAAUGUAUCGGAACGUGCCCAGUAGCGGGGGAUAACUACGCGAAAGCGUGGCUAAUACCGCAUACGCCCUACGGGUGAAAGCAGGGGAUCGUAAGACCUUGCACUAUUGGAGCGGCCGAUAUCGGAUUAGCUAGUUGGUGAGGUAACGGCUCACCAAGGCGACGAUCCGUAGCUGGUUUGAGAGGACGACCAGCCACCCUGGGACUGAGACACGGCCCAGACGACUACGGGAGGCAGCAGUGGGGAAGUUUGGACAAUGGGGGCAACCCUGAUCCAACCAUCCCGCGUGUGAGAUGAAGGCCUUCGGGUUGUAAAGCACUUUUGGCAGGAAAGAAACGUCGCGGGCUAAUACCCCGUGGAACUGACGGUACCUGCAGAAUAAGCACCGGCUAACUACGUG
RNAcentral lists this ribosomal RNA (484 nucleotides) under uncultured bacterium. RNAcentral describes it as "partial 16S ribosomal RNA". It matches the Rfam family "Bacterial small subunit ribosomal RNA", at positions 36 to 507 of the family's 1533-position model. The record is from RNAcentral.